This 253-nucleotide ribosomal RNA is filed under the name uncultured bacterium. RNAcentral's name for it is "partial 16S ribosomal RNA". It matches the Rfam family "Bacterial small subunit ribosomal RNA", at positions 524 to 776 of the family's 1533-position model. The record is from RNAcentral.
UACGGGGGGUGCAAGCGUUGUUCGGAUUGAUUGGGCGUAAAGCGCUCGUAGGCGGGUUCACAAGUCGGAUGUGAAAGCCCCGGGCUCAACCUGGGAACCGCGCUUGAGACUGGAGAACUAGAGUUCGGGAGAGGAUGGUGGAAUUCCCAGUGUAGAGGUGAAAUUCGUAGAUAUUGGGAAGAACACCGAUGGCGAAGGCAGCCAUCUGGACCGACACUGACGCUGAGGCGCGAAAGCGUGGGGAGCAAACAGG